CCUACGGGUGGCAGCAGUGAGGAAUAUUGGUCAAUGGACGAGAGUCUGAACCAGCCAAGUCGCGUGAAGGAAGACGGCCCUACGGGUUGUAAACUUCUUUUGUAAGGGAAUAAAUAGUCUUACGCGCUAAGACGUUGCGGGUACCUUACGAAUAAGGAUCGGCUAACUCCUUGCCAGCAGCCGCGGUAAUCCGGGGGAUCCGAGCGUUAUCCGGAUUUAUUGGGUUUAAAGGGUGCGCAGGCGGCAUGUUAAGGCGGGGGUGAAAUUUUGCAGCGUAACUGUAAAAGAGCCUUCGAAACUGGCAAGCUUGAGUGGUGAUGAAGUAGGCGGAAUUUGUGGUGUAGCGGUGAAAUGCAUAGAUAUCACAAAGAACACCGAUUGCGCAGGCAGCUUACUAAACCAUAACUGACGCUCAUGCACGAAGGCGUGGGGAUCAAACAGGAUUAGAUACCCUAGUAGUCA
RNAcentral lists this ribosomal RNA (462 nucleotides) under uncultured Porphyromonadaceae bacterium. RNAcentral's name for it is "bacterial SSU rRNA". It matches the Rfam family "Bacterial small subunit ribosomal RNA", at positions 338 to 796 of the family's 1533-position model. The record is from RNAcentral. Lineage: Bacteria; Pseudomonadati; Bacteroidota; Bacteroidia; Bacteroidales; Porphyromonadaceae.